RNAcentral lists this ribosomal RNA (497 nucleotides) under uncultured bacterium. Its description in RNAcentral is "partial 16S ribosomal RNA". It matches the Rfam family "Bacterial small subunit ribosomal RNA", at positions 28 to 507 of the family's 1533-position model. The record is from RNAcentral.
GAUGAACGCUGGCGGCGUGCCUAAUACAUGCAAGUCGAGCGAACAGAUGAGGAGCUUGCUCCUCUGACGUUAGCGGCGGACGGGUGAGUAACACGUGGAUAACCUCCCUAUAAGACUGGGAUAACUUCGGGAAACCGGAGCUAAUACCGGAUAAUAUAUUGAACCGCAUGGUUCAAUAGUGAAAGACGGUUUUGCUGUCACUUAUAGAUGGAUCCGCGCCGUAUUAGCUAGUUGGUAAGGUAACGGCUUACCAAGGCAACGAUGCGUAGCCGACCGGAGAGGGGGAUCGGCGACACUGGAACUGAGACACGGUCCAGACUCCUACGGGAGGCAGCAGUAGGGAAUCUUCCGCAAUGGGCGAAAGCCUGACGGAGCAACGCCGCGUGAGUGAUGAAGGUCUUCGGAUCGUAAAACCCUGUUAUUAGGGAAGAACAAAUGUGUAAGUAACUAUGCACGUCUUGACGGUAACUAAUCAGAAAGCCACGGCUAACUACGUG